CUCGGCACCUCUGGAAAGCCCGGGAUCGACCCCCAGGUCGUGACCGGCACCGACGGAGCAAGCGGGCCCACCCGCGGAAACUCUCAGGUCCCAUGACAGAGCGGGGAGG
This 109-nucleotide non-coding RNA is filed under the name Kocuria palustris. RNAcentral describes it as "Glycine sequence". It matches the Rfam family "Glycine riboswitch aptamer". From Rfam's summary of the family: This family represents the bacterial glycine riboswitch. Glycine riboswitches usually consist of two metabolite-binding aptamers domains with similar structures in tandem. Lineage: Bacteria; Bacillati; Actinomycetota; Actinomycetes; Micrococcales; Micrococcaceae. The record is from RNAcentral.